AGUGAACGCUGGCGGUAGGCCUAACACAUGCAAGUCGAACGGCAGCACAGUAAGAGCUUGCUCUUACGGGUGGCGAGUGGCGGACGGGUGAGGAAUACAUCGGAAUCUACUUUUUCGUGGGGGAUAACGUAGGGAAACUUACGCUAAUACCGCAUACGACCUACGGGUGAAAGCAGGGGAUCUUCGGACCUUGCGCGAUUGAAUGAGCCGAUGUCGGAUUAGCUAGUUGGCGGGGUAAAGGCCCACCAAGGCGACGAUCCGUAGCUGGUCUGAGAGGAUGACCAGCCACAGGGGAAAUGAGAACCGGCCCAGACCCCUAGGGGGGGCAGCAGUGGGGAAUAUGGGACAAGGGGGGCAAGCCUGAUCCAGCCAUACCGCGUGGGGGAAGAAGGCCUUGGGGUUGUAAAGCCCUUUUGUGGGGAAAAAAAAGCAGCAGGUUAAUACCCCGCUGUUCUGACGGUACCAAAAGAAUAAGCCCCGGCUAACUUCG
RNAcentral lists this ribosomal RNA (490 nucleotides) under uncultured bacterium. Its description in RNAcentral is "partial 16S ribosomal RNA". It matches the Rfam family "Bacterial small subunit ribosomal RNA", at positions 29 to 505 of the family's 1533-position model. The record is from RNAcentral.